GUCUCAUCCCCAUCCUGAGUGGUCUAUUCUCUAGAAUCAAGAUGACCACACUCCAGCAGGCAUUUCAAAUUGUGGCUUGGACUCACGCACAGGCCCCCUCCUGGUUCCCAGGUGUUCUAUGAUUUUCGUUGGCAUCGAUGGAAAGGUCACCUGUGCCCCCCUUCCUCCGGAACAUGCCUGGACACCAUUGUUUGUUUCGCCAUCGCCCCGUAUGCCCUCUGUGACACACAUUCACAGCAUCUGCUCUUGAAUACACCAGUGCCACGUGUGGUCACACUGGCUCUACUUUGGAUUUGCCCCUUUCCCUGUUUGCACGUGUCCUGCACUUUUACCAGAAGGUGGUAAAAGUAAGAG
Molecule: long non-coding RNA, 354 nt
Filed under: Homo sapiens (human)
Lineage: Eukaryota; Metazoa; Chordata; Mammalia; Primates; Hominidae
Description: non-protein coding lnc-ZNF568-1:4
Source: RNAcentral